This 174-nucleotide ribosomal RNA is filed under the name uncultured bacterium. Its description in RNAcentral is "partial 16S rRNA". It matches the Rfam family "Bacterial small subunit ribosomal RNA", at positions 338 to 524 of the family's 1533-position model. The record is from RNAcentral.
CCUACGGGAGGCAGCAGUGGGGAAUAUUGCACAAUGGGCGAAAGCCUGAUGCAGCGACGCCGCGUGAGGGAUGACGGCCUUCGGGUUGUAAACCUCUUUCGACAGGGACGAAGCGUGAGUGACGGUACCUGUAGAAGAAGCACCGGCUAACUACGUGCCAGCAGCCGCGGUAAU